UACAGAGGUCUCAAGCGUUGUUCGGAUUUAUUGGGCGUAAAGGGUGCGUAGGCGGCGCGGUAAGUCGGGUGUGAAAUCUCGGAGCUUAACUCCGAAACUGCAUUCGAUACUGCCGUGCUUGAGGACUGGAGAGGAGACUGGAAUUUACGGUGUAGCGGUGAAAUGCGUAGAUAUCGUAAGGAAGACCAGUGGCGAAGGCGGGUCUCUGGUACGAGACUGACGCUGAGACGCGAAAGCGUGGGGAGCAAACAGG
Molecule: ribosomal RNA, 253 nt
Filed under: uncultured bacterium
Lineage: Bacteria
Description: partial 16S ribosomal RNA
Rfam family: Bacterial small subunit ribosomal RNA
Source: RNAcentral